RNAcentral lists this long non-coding RNA (961 nucleotides) under Limulus polyphemus (Atlantic horseshoe crab). RNAcentral describes it as "uncharacterized LOC111087369, transcript variant X3". The record is from RNAcentral. Lineage: Eukaryota; Metazoa; Arthropoda; Merostomata; Xiphosura; Limulidae.
UAGUAUCACUAUUGAAAUUAGUAAAACGUGUUGUUGUUGAGAUUAAAGCCUAUAACUUGAUUUUCCUUUCAGAGUGAAUUAGGCAAGUCGUGGGGCAAGUUCCAGCUGCUAGUAAUAAAACCAACGAAGAUAGAGAGCAUGAUUUUCUCUAACAUAAAUUUUAAAAUGCUUCCUGAUUCUGUAACUUCUUCUGAACCUGCCUUGUCUUUCGAUGAAUUUGACCAGCUUUUCCCAUAGCCUCCCUUUGCUUCAGGUUCAUCCUGAUGAGACUCAGUUUAUUCCUGCAGUCUUCCUCUGGCAUGCAAGUAGUUUCCAUUGCUUGAUUAUUAGCCUUCAUCAAGCAGUGAAUUUAACCCACUGAUGCUGAAUUUUUUGUAGGUGUUCCUGGCAGUUACCAGUGUUCUAUGGAUGCUAAUUUGAUGGAUCAUCAGCCCUAUUUAUCUUUCCAAAAAUUAUUUUAACUUAUUUUUCAGGCUCCAGUGCUGAAAGAAAUAUAUUGUGUAUGCCAUCUUUCAACAGGUUAACUUCAUGGGCUCCCAGGUAGGCCAAACUUUUGGGGAAACAAUCCAACAAAUCAUGCCAAAGAUAGGCACCUACAGGUUGUGGUCCACUUACAAUCUGAAGGGCAACAGGCAUAAGGAAAACAAAAGGAGGCAUUCAUGAAUCUUUUACUCUUCAAAUGCAUUAAAAAAGCUUGCCUUGAGACCCACCAAAAGCUAAAGGAAAACACUAUUGAAGACAAGGUGACAUAAUUUCUGAAACUUGCUCCCAAUAAGCCAUGAGGAAUGAGACACAAGAAAUCUACUUCAGCAAAUGGUGGCCAGACAUUAGAAAAUGAUUAAAUGGAAAAAGAAGAGCUGACUGAUAACUAGAAAAACCUCUAAGUGGAAAAGUGUCAUCAAUAAUAAUUGCAAUCAAAUUGUAUAAAAGUUUUUAUCAGAGAAUAAAUGUUGAAUAAAUU